CCCGGAAUCUUCACGCUUCUCGAAGGGACUUUGUGCAGGUACUAAAUUGUUUACAUAUAAAUAGGUUUGUUUGUUUGUUUGUUUGUUGUUUAACGCCGAACUCAGCAAUAUUCCAGCUAUAUGACGGCGGUCUGUAAAUAAUCGAGUCUGGACCAGACAAUCCAGUGAUUAAUAUCAUGAGCAUCGAGCCACGCAAUUGACCUCUCCGCAUGGAACCUUAAGCCACGCCUUCAAAGAGGUCACGACCUUUCCACCACUUCCUUAGACAAACUUAUAAACAACAUGGCUGCCUCUUGUCAAACUCGGAGAGCUUCGUUGGCGGAUUUACAGGCUGAUUUGUCGACUUCUUUUAUGAAACAGGUGUCAUUUUCAAUGAAAAGUAAACAGCAAGGGUUUAAGUUUUUUAGUGAGGGGUACUUCCAUUCAGUAAGCAUGACUUACGGAGAGAAUGACACCAUCGUCAGUAGUGCCAAGUGCUAUCGCAGUAUGAAGAAAAACGAGCCGCCCCAUGCUGUUCAUGUUGACAUCAAGCCUGAAGAAAUAUCCUAUGCCUAUUGUUCAUGUCAAGCAGGAGCUAGUGGAUCAUGUUCCCAUGUCAUUGGAUUCAUCAUAGCACUGCAGCAAUGGCAGUUGAUGGGUUUCACUGAGGAUCCAUCAAAGCUGUCCUGCACAUCACUUCCAGAACAGUGGAGCAAACCUCGGUGUACCAAAGUUGAAGCAGGCGAUGUACCACAUUUAGUUUUUGUCAACCCCAAACCAGACAGGAAAAAGAAACCAGUUACUAAUACAUUGACAGAAUGCAGGUACUUGAUUUAUACUGAUUUAUUUCAUGAAUUAUGCUUUCCUUAUUUCGCUCAAAGCAAACAAAUGUAUACAUAAAAUUCACUGGUAUGACAUGUAUCAUAAACAUUUACAUAAACUAAAUAAACUUUGAUUAUAUAAACUAAAUAUACAUUGAUAUAAACUAAAUGAUAAUCAUCAUGUUCAAUGGAAAUAGAUGCCAUAAUAUGAUAAUUAUCAUGCUUAUCACUCUUAAAUGUAUAACAUGUUCAACAAGACACAUUUGAAUUCAUCAACGGCAUAAACUUCAACAAGGAAGUGAGCUUUCAUGUUUGCACAAUAAGUUCUCUGGAUUAAGAAAGUGAGAUAGACAAUUACAUGUUACAGAAAUGUACGGGUCGAGGAGACAGAUGUUGAACAUCUUCAAGGCCUAAAACACCUUCCCAUUGGAUACCUUGUGUGCAACCCCUCAAAAACUGUGCACACUCAUGUUGGACCAGUCCCUGUUGGCAGUGGCUUGUCAACGCAUGCAAAGUUUUUUGAGACUGAGCCAAUAAAAUCUGUUGGCACUAGAUGUGGCAAUCUAGCUUUUCCCCAGGCCGCCACAGUGACCCUUGGAGCAGAGUACCACAUCGAGGAUACGACACAGGAGCAAUGUGAACAGUUAGAGCAACUAACAAGGGACCAGACCAACAGUCAGUUGUGGUUUCAAGCCAGGAAACACAGGCUGACAGCAUCCACAUUUGGGAUCAUACUCAAAAGAAAAACCAUCACAGAAAAGUUCAUCAACAACAUCAUAAAUGAAAAGGCUUUCACAUCUGCUGCAACCAGCUAUGGCAAAAGUAAUGAAAGACAAGCUAUUGAAAAAUACAUUAAGCAGUCAGGUAAUCAUGUUCAUGAUUGUGGUCUUGUAGUGAACAGAAAGUUUCCAUUUCUAGGAGCUACACCAGAUGGGAAGGUGUGUGAAGAUGGUAUUACAGGCAUCAUAGAAGUA
Haliotis rufescens (red abalone) is the source of this 1774-nucleotide RNA transcript. RefSeq lists it as uncharacterized. The record is from RefSeq and is a predicted model, not a curated record. The transcript has 3 exons. Lineage: Eukaryota; Metazoa; Mollusca; Gastropoda; Lepetellida; Haliotidae.